This 385-nucleotide long non-coding RNA is filed under the name Gossypium barbadense (sea-island cotton). Its description in RNAcentral is "long non-coding RNA (GBAR_LNC021805)". The record is from RNAcentral. Lineage: Eukaryota; Viridiplantae; Streptophyta; Magnoliopsida; Malvales; Malvaceae.
GAAUUUACACAAGCAAUACCGGGAAAAACCAAUGAACCUUCGACUGGAUCUCAAUUCAGAUUACAAGCUGCAAUUUUUUUAGGUUAUUACAAAAUGACAGCUCCGCAGGUAGUAACCACAUGUUUUUGUACCUCCUUUUACAACAAAAUCAUCCUCGUCUUAACAGCCUGUUUCUUUAAUUCAUUGGCAUGCCAACAACCUCUUAACAAGAGUUAAACUACCUAAGCUGCUACAUUAAAGAGCAAUAAGAAGAAUUUUCAUUUUACAACAGUCUAUGAGAAGAUCACCAGGGGAAUACAGAUCCUAUUGUAAGAGAAACCUACUAUCAACAGCCACAUGGUAUCCAAACAAAAUGACUGGCUAAGACAGUCACUUUGCCUCAUCC